This 22-nucleotide microRNA is filed under the name Rattus norvegicus (Norway rat). RNAcentral describes it as "rno-miR-3593-5p". Lineage: Eukaryota; Metazoa; Chordata; Mammalia; Rodentia; Muridae. The record is from miRBase by way of RNAcentral.
UGGCCUCCGCAGGGUUGAAGCU